This is an RNA transcript of Sorghum bicolor (sorghum), 1982 nucleotides long. RefSeq lists it as uncharacterized. The transcript is spliced from 4 exons. NCBI's taxonomy places the organism in Eukaryota, Viridiplantae, Streptophyta, Magnoliopsida, Poales, Poaceae. The record is from RefSeq and is a predicted model, not a curated record.
AUUGCGACUUGGUCUCGUAAUUCUUCUCCGAUAUUCUUUUUUUUUUAAAAAAAUCUUCUCCGAUAUAUUUUCCCCAAGGCAAGGGUUUGAGUUUUCGGUGGGACAUUUUCGGUUGAUCUGAUAAUCGCAUCGAUCUGCUGUCGUCGAUUGCAGAGGAAAACGGUAGAUUUUGCCGCAGGCGACCGGCGUUCCCCAAACUCUGUGUCCGCACAUGAGUCCGUGCAGCAAGCUCCGCCGCCUGACGCGCGGCGACGACGACGCCGGCGACGGCAAGACGAUGUUCCCGGACUGGGCGUCGCUGCACCAGGAUCUGGUGGAACUCAUCGGGUGCCGGGUACUUGCCGGCGACCUGCACGACUACGUCCGGUUCCGCGCCGUCUGCUCCCACUGGAGCGCGAGCACCGCCCGCCCCCGCGGCCGCGGCGUCCUGGACCCGCGUUUCCACCCGCGCCGAUGGAUGAUGCUGCCGGAGGGCCACGGCCUCUACCCGGGCCACCCGGACCUCCGCGGCUUCGUGCGCUUCUUCAACCUCGACACCGGCGCCUUCGCCCGCGCCCACCUCCCGCUGCUGGCCGACCACGUCGUCCUCGAUACGGUCGACGGUCUCCUCCUCCUCCUCCACCGCAACGACGAAACUGCCAUCCGCCUCCUCCACCCCUUCACCGGCGACGUCGCCGAGUUCCCGCCGCUGGCGUCGCUCCUGCAACAGAUGGAACCAAGCAACUACUACGAGCAAACAAACAUGCGCAGGAUGCUCAUGAGAGCUCGCGCCUCCGUUACCGUCACCUCCUCCGGGGCCAUCACUCUCGUGCUGGCCCUUGACCACCUGCAUCGCGUAGCCUACGCCACCGCCGGUGACCAACGCUGGACUCCCUCUGCCUGGAAGCUCAAACCUUUUCUCAAACCCGUAUCUUUCCAAGGCAAACUCUACGCAUAUCAGCUGUCACCCUUUGAGAUUGGUAAAUUAUACAUCUACCAAUUUGACCCGCCAUGCCCAGACUCCGGCGACGGACAGGGACAGUCCCGUCUGCCAUUGCCAGUGAAGAUUGCCGAAUGCCCAAUGGACAAAUUGUGUUUCGUCCUCCACUUUGUAGAAUGGUGUUCAGAGCUCUUGCUGGUUUCUUACAACGAUGUUUCCUUUUCGAAGCUGCUGGUCUACAGAGUUGCUGACCUUGUCAGUGGAAAGAUUGAGCCAGUAACGGACAUCGGAGACCACACCGUGUUCAUCGGCGAUCGUUCUCUCUGUAUCUCACUCUCACAUAACAAGGGGAAGGGGAGUAGGACUAGGAGCUUUGCUUCCAUGUCGCCGAACUCUAUCAUAUGCAUGCAUACUUUCCAUGAACCUUUUUCUGAAAUGUUUGCUCGUUUUGAGCAAUAUGAUCUAAGUACUGGCAUCUGGACUCCAGCCAGCGACGGAGACGUUUACAGAAGACCACCACCGAUCCCCCAUACACUAAUCCAUCAUAUCUUUACUUCCUGUAAAUACGAUUUUGAGAAUAAAGGAUCGAUGUAUUGCUGUACGAUUUGAAGCACAGCCUAUGUAGUUGGUGAAGCGAGAUCUACGGCAUGCGGCUUGAUGGUCUCUUGUUGCUGCUGAUUUUCUGACGCUCAAUGAUUAUUGCAACCUCUGCCGCUCCAUCUCUGUUAGUAUGCUGCUUCUCGUCCCAGUCGCUCCCUCCCCCACAAAUCUUCACCCCCAUCUCUCGAGAUCCAUGCUCAUGGCGGCGACCGGCGAGGAAAAGGCCGCCAGUGCGUGAUUGGUGACCUAGUGAAUUUCAGUUCUGAAGCCUGCCACGGCAAGAACUGAGGGAGGUCAGAGACACGCACAUGCUGAAAAGCUCAGAUCGUCACUGACAGAUGAAGAGAAGAGAGGUGAUGCCAUAAAUUAAUCUUCUGGGAUAUCGGCAAGUUUUACGAUAUCAGACACAUCUUGCAGUCAAACGAUAAAUAACUGUAUGUGAUAGAACACCGACUUUCGAUCA